UCAAUGGAGAGUUUGAUCCUGGCUCAGGAUGAACGCUGGCGGUAUGCUUAACACAUGCAAGUCGAACGAAUUAAUGGGCAACUAUUAGUUAGUGGCGGACGGGUGAGUAACGCGUAAGAAUCUACCUUUUGGAGAGGGAUAACAUCGGGAAACUGAUGCUAAUACCUCAUAAUACUGAGGAGUUAAAACAGUUAACGCUGGCCAAAAGAGGAGCUUGCGUCUGAUUAGCUAGUUGGUGGGGGUAAAAGCUUCCCAAGGCCACGAUCAGUAGCUGGUUUGAGAGGAUGAUCAGCCACACUGGGACUGAGACACGGCCCAGACUCCUACGGGAGGCAGCAGUGAGGAAUUUUCCGCAAUGGGCGAAAGCUUGACGGAGCAAUACCGCGUGGGUGAAGAAGGCCUGUGGGUCGUAAAACCCUUUUCUCAGAGAAGAACAAAUGACGGUAUCUGAGGAAUAAGCCCCGGCUAAAUUUUGGUCGCUCGUAAUGUGAAUUACGAGGCAAAUUUUGCUCAUAUCGGUGGAACCUAAACGCAGAUGCGGCAAAACAGUUUGACUGUUAUUCACUUUAUGUGAAAAUCCGGCGUAGGCAAUCCCGAGGGAAGUUUUCUUAUCAAGGAAAAAAACAUGCAUGACUUCUAAACUGAACCUUGAUAGAAAACCCCGUAACGACUGAGGAAAAGUUAAUUUUGAUUAACUUAGUACGAGAUAAGAACAAAACCUAACGUCUAACUGUCAAAGGUUAGGCGUCAGACUUUCUUAUAACACGCAGAACCUCUUUAAUAUUCUUGGACUUUUUUUACAAGAAUAUGGUCAAUAAAGAAGAAGGUAUAGUCUAUGCUCUUAGAAAUAGGAGGUUUUAAUAUUCAUGAACCCUGUGCCAGCAGCCGCGGUAAUACAGGGGGGGCAAGCGUUAUCCGGAAUGAUUGGGCGUAAAGCGUCUGUAGGUGGUUUAAAAAGUCUACUGUCAAAUACCAAGGCUUAACCUUGGACAGGCAGUAGAGUACUUUUAGACUUGAGUGCGGUAGAGGUAGAGGGAAUCCCUAGCGUAACAGUGAAAUGUGUAGAUUUUAGGGAGAACACCAGCGGCGAAGGCGCUCUACUGGGCCGAGACUGACACUGAGAGACGAAAGCUAAGGGAGAGAAUAGGAUUAGAUACCCUAGUAUUCUUAGCUGUAAACGAUGGAAACUAAGUGCUGCCGAAUGCAGUGCUGCAGCUAACGCGUUAAGUUUCCCGCCUGGGGAGUAUGCCCGCAAGGGUGAAACUCAAAGGAAUUGACGGGGGCCCGCACAAGCAGUGGAUUAUGUGGUUUAAUUCGAUGCAACGCGAAGAACCUUACCAAGGUUUGACAUACUCAGAAUUCUCCAGAAAUGGAUUAGUGCCAGCAAUGGAACUGAGAUACAGGUGGUGCAUGGCUGUCGUCAGCUCGUGCGUUGACGUGUAUGGUUAAGUCCUGCAACGAGCGCAACCCUCGUCUUUAGUUAAUAUCUCUAAAGAGACUGCCAGCGUAAGCUGGAGGAAGGUGAGGAUGACGUCAAGUCAGCAUGCCCCUUACAUCUUGGGCUACACACGUAAUACAAUGGUUGGGACAAUCAGAAGCGAUCCUGCGAAGGCUAGCGAAUCUGUUAAACUCAACCUCAGUUCGGAUUGCAGGCUGCAACUCGCCUGCAUGAAGUCGGAAUUGCUAGUAAUCGCCAAUCAGCUAUGUGGCGGUGAAUACGUUCCCGGGCCUUGUACACACCGCCCGUCACAUGCAUAAAUUAUGCGGAAGUCUAAGUCAUUAGUUUAACCUUUUGGAGAACGGUGCCUAAACUUUAGCCUGAGAUAAGUAUGAAGUCGUAACAAGGUAGGGCUACUGGAAGGUGGCCCUGGAUCACCUCCUUC
Molecule: ribosomal RNA, 1883 nt
Filed under: Chlamydomonas priscui
Lineage: Eukaryota; Viridiplantae; Chlorophyta; Chlorophyceae; Chlamydomonadales; Chlamydomonadaceae
Description: Chlamydomonas sp. UWO 241 SSU rRNA
Rfam family: Bacterial small subunit ribosomal RNA
Source: RNAcentral